GGAUCUUCUGAUGAGAAAACUUAAACAAAAUGACAUCUCAUGAUUUGUUGUAUUUAAGUCUCUGAUGAUC
This 70-nucleotide small nucleolar RNA is filed under the name Nelumbo nucifera (sacred lotus). Its description in RNAcentral is "Small nucleolar RNA Z199". It matches the Rfam family "Small nucleolar RNA Z199". From Rfam's summary of the family: snoZ199 is a C/D box small nucleolar RNA, which acts as a methylation guide RNA for sites on 18S and 25S rRNA. Rice snoZ199 is reported to be homologous to Arabidopsis snoR13. Lineage: Eukaryota; Viridiplantae; Streptophyta; Magnoliopsida; Proteales; Nelumbonaceae. The record is from Rfam by way of RNAcentral.